Molecule: transfer RNA, 63 nt
Filed under: Quadraceps punctatus
Lineage: Eukaryota; Metazoa; Arthropoda; Insecta; Psocodea; Philopteridae
Description: tRNA-Pro
Source: RNAcentral
CAGGGGGUAGUUUAAGAGAAAACUCUCUCUUUGGGGGAGAGAAACCUCAUCUGAGUCUCCUGU